GUGGGUCUCCCUUCCAUUUCUAGGGUUUGAUUUCUCUCUGGUUUUUUUUUUUACUAUUUUAUCAUUCCUAAAUCUCCAUAUCAUCAAUGUCUUUGAAAUCUAUUAAUCCAUCAUUCACACCGUAAUACUAUAUAGUUUUGAAAACCAGUCAACCAAUACAAACAACAUAUUACUGUACUGUUCAUAAUCUGCAUAUUUUUCUCCUAUUUUCUUUCUUAUUUUGCAAAUUUUUUCUGGGUUUUGAUCUAAUUUUAUUG
RNAcentral lists this long non-coding RNA (257 nucleotides) under Panax ginseng (ginseng). RNAcentral describes it as "long non-coding RNA (PGIN_LNC015583)". The record is from RNAcentral. Lineage: Eukaryota; Viridiplantae; Streptophyta; Magnoliopsida; Apiales; Araliaceae.